GAUGAACGCUGGCGGCGUGCCUAAUACAUGCAAGUAGAACGCUGAAGGAGGACUUUGCUCUUCUGGAUGAGUUGCGAACGGGUGAGUAACGCGUAGGUAACCUGCCCGGUACUGGGGGAUAACUAUUGGAAACGAUAGCUAAUACCGCAUGACAACAGUUAUUGCAUGAUAACUGUUUAAAAGGGGCAACUGCUCCACUACCAGAUGGACCUGCGUUGUAUUAGCUAGUUGGAGAGGUAACGGCUCACCAAGGCGACGAUACAUAGCCGACCUGAGAGGGUGAGCGGCCACACUGGGAGGGAGACACGGCCCAGACUCCUACGGGAGGCAGCAGGAGGGAAUCUUCAGCAAUGGACGGAAGUCUGACCGAGCAACGCCGCGUGAGUGAAGAAGGUUGUCGGGUCGUGAAGGUCUGUUGUAAGAGAGGAACGAGUGUGCGAGUGGAAAGUUCAGACUGUGACGGUAUCUGACCAGAAAGGGACGGCUAACUACGUG
Molecule: ribosomal RNA, 495 nt
Filed under: uncultured bacterium
Lineage: Bacteria
Description: partial 16S ribosomal RNA
Rfam family: Bacterial small subunit ribosomal RNA
Source: RNAcentral